AUGAUUCUGUUCAGACCAAGGUUGUUCAGACCAAAAUUUUUGCUUGAAAUGACCAUCUUCAGGGAAAAUCCUAUCUUUCCUAUCUUUUACCCAGGUUCUUAUGCACCCCGGACUGAAGCAAUGCAGUUCACAUUGGUGGUGUCCCUCCUAUGUCCAAGGCACAAGUCCAUUCAAAUUCUCUUCCAUUAUCAUCAAAGGAGAAAGGACAAAGAGCAAAGAUUUCUUCUGCCAAUAGCCGUCCUAAGGAAUUUCAGAGGACUCAUGGCUGAAUGUCUCAAUUUUCAAGAGUUACUCCUUUUCAUACACGAUCCUACGUUUCAGGUAGUUCAGUUGGGAAACUUUUCACUUAGAUGAUCUAAACCCACAAAUACACUAACAUAAGGAACAGAGUACACUGAUGUUACAAAGCUUAAAAAAUUAAUGGGUCACGUUGAAAUGUUAAUGACAAAGCUGAUACAUUGCAUUUUGAUUUUGUGUGGCUCCAACACAUUCCCAUCAAAUCCAUAAUCAAAAGUGAUGUGUUCUCUCAAAACACAAACACCUUUGAAACAAAACACAGCACCAGCGUGCUUUCAUCAGACCUACUUACAGCACAGAAAUAUUAAACAAACAUCUCCUUUCUCGCCCUAAUUAUUGAACAGUGGAUGUAGUAGCAAAGAUGUAUUCACUUUAAUGAAUUUCAUGGUGUUUUAAAUAAGGAAGAAAAGUCUCUUUCCCAUUUAUUCCUUUGCAGCUACAUACCUGGUCUUAAAUUUGUAGGACUGAUGCUUCCACAUAGCAAAAUGAACCACCUUCAUUAUCUCAGUUUACAAGUAGGGAAACUGAGGCACGAAGCACAAACUUUCCUUCCCCAAAGCCAGUGAGUAAAUGAGCAGCAGGAGGGAUCGACCCCCGCAGCAGCAGUGCCCUGCUGUAACCACUAAGCAGCAUCACCUGCAUUUAACACCAACCAUUAUCAGUUUGCAAAGUGCUACUGAUGGAGAAGACCUGCUGGGUCCUUUUGCAGUCGCCUGUAAGGGCAGGCUUUUUCCAUGCCUUGUGCUGCAGGCGAAAGUGCUUCAUACAAUCCCCACAUUAAAAUAAUUCAAGCAGGAGGCCAUCUCUCAUUUCCUUUGGGGGAAACAAUUCUGUAGCUGAAUAGAUUGCAGCAUUAGGAAAUAUUUCCUGAUGUCCAGCCCCUGCCACAGCUUCUAGAAUCUGUUGAUAUAUUAUUAAUAGAAAGGAAAAUAAAUAUAGGUAUUAAUGCCA
This 1248-nucleotide long non-coding RNA is filed under the name Calidris pugnax (ruff). Its description in RNAcentral is "lncRNA (ENSCPUG00000006486.1)". Lineage: Eukaryota; Metazoa; Chordata; Aves; Charadriiformes; Scolopacidae. The record is from RNAcentral.